This 1441-nucleotide ribosomal RNA is filed under the name uncultured organism. RNAcentral describes it as "partial small subunit ribosomal RNA". It matches the Rfam family "Bacterial small subunit ribosomal RNA". The record is from RNAcentral.
CGGCGUGCUUAACACAUGCAAGUCGAACGGAAAGGCCCUGCUUUUGUGGGGUGCUCGAGUGGCGAACGGGUGAGUAACACGUGAGUAACCUGCCCUUGACUUUGGGAUAACUUCAGGAAACUGGGGCUAAUACCGGAUAGGAGCUCCUGCUGCAUGGUGGGGGUUGGAAAGUUUCGGCGGUUGGGGAUGGACUCGCGGCUUAUCAGCUUGUUGGUGGGGUAGUGGCUUACCAAGGCUUUGACGGGUAGCCGGCCUGAGAGGGUGACCGGCCACAUUGGGACUGAGAUACGGCCCAGACUCCUACGGGAGGCAGCAGUGGGGAAUAUUGCACAAUGGGCGGAAGCCUGAUGCAGCAACGCCGCGUGCGGGAUGACGGCCUUCGGGUUGUAAACCGCUUUCGCCUGUGACGAAGCGUGAGUGACGGUAAUGGGUAAAGAAGCACCGGCUAACUACGUGCCAGCAGCCGCGGUGAUACGUAGGGUGCGAGCGUUGUCCGGAUUUAUUGGGCGUAAAGGGCUCGUAGGUGGUUGAUCGCGUCGGAAGUGUAAUCUUGGGGCUUAACCCUGAGCGUGCUUUCGAUACGGGUUGACUUGAGGAAGGUAGGGGAGAAUGGAAUUCCUGGUGGAGCGGUGGAAUGCGCAGAUAACAGGAGGAACACCAGUGGCGAAGGCGGUUCUCUGGGCCUUUCCUGACGCUGAGGAGCGAAAGCGUGGGGAGCGAACAGGCUUAGAUACCCUGGUAGUCCACGCUGUAAACGGUGGGUACUAGGUGUGGGGUCCAUUCCACGGGUUCCGUGCCGUAGCUAACGCUUUAAGUACCCCGCCUGGGGAGUACGGCCGCAAGGCUAAAACUCAAAGGAAUUGACGGGGCCCCGCACAAGCGGCGGAGCAUGCGGAUUAAUUCGAUGCAACGCGUAGAACCUUACCUGGGUUUGACAUGGAUCGGGAGUGCUCAGAGAUGGGUGUGCCUCUUUUGGGGUCGGUUCACAGGUGGUGCAUGGCUGUCGUCAGCUCGUGUCGUGAGAUGUUGGGUUAAGUCCCGCAACGAGCGCAACCCUUGUUCACUGUUGCCAGCACGUUAUGGUGGGGACUCAGUGGAGACCGCCGGGGUCAACUCGGAGGAAGGUGGGGAUGACGUCAAGUCAUCAUGCCCCUUAUGUCCAGGGCUUCACGCAUGCUACAAUGGCUGGUACAGAGAGUGGCGAGCCUGUGAGGGUGAGCGAAUCUCGGAAAGCCGGUCUCAGUUCGGAUUGGGGUCUGCAACUCGACCUCAUGAAGUCGGAGUCGCUAGUAAUCGCAGAUCAGCAACGCUGCGGUGAAUACGUUCCCGGGGCUUGUACACACCGCCCGUCAAGUCAUGAAAGUUGGUAACACCCGAAGCCGGUGGCCUAACCGUUGUGGGGGAGCCGUCGAAGGUGGGACUGGUGAUAAGGACUAAGUAG